GACGGAUGCCUCCAAAGGGGGAGGAAUGUAGUAGCUGGUACAAAGUAUGGCACACGUAUCAACUACAAAUAUGCGUGAAGCGCUUCACCAACAUCUCAAGAGGCCUUUUCAGCGGCCAGCUAAUACACAUACCUACCAUACAUCGGUAAUGCAUUCCCCUACAAGCUCUUCUGAGAGUCCACGCUGAAACCAGAAAAUCCUAUCCCUUUCCGAGACUUCCGCGAUAGGUGUGAUUAGUAACUCAAAACGCGACUGAUAAGAAGAGACGUUCUCGCCAGAGUGCAUGCGAGAUGACCCACUAGCGAGAAUGGCACGUGCUUCUAAGUCAGGGGCAAAACCUCAGGAGUGAAACGGGCGAGUAGGGCUGUAAAUAGUUCGUGCCGUGGAACACUGAUCAUACCAAGCCUUGGCCGCACGUCCAACCCGUUGCCUAUGAACAGACAGUGCACCGGCUCCCAAUCUCUCCCCCUAAGCAGCUGUAGGUAUAACUUUACAUCCCGAACAAAGGCACGUGUACUCUCAGCAACCGUUCAUCCUAAAUCGCGCCCUACAAGUCUGAGGAGAAAUUCAGUCUGGGAACAGGAACAGAAAGUCUAAGUACCUCAGCAUCCUGAGCCGGUAAAAGAGCUGCUGCAGUGGCCGCAAGAGGAGCCAUUUCGCACUGUGGGCGGAAGAGGCUACGGGCAGUGGUGGCAGUGGAACAGCGGCAACAGGAGUGUGUUCCUGUCCUGCGUUGGAACAGCAAUAGGGACGGU
Molecule: long non-coding RNA, 755 nt
Filed under: Volvox carteri
Lineage: Eukaryota; Viridiplantae; Chlorophyta; Chlorophyceae; Chlamydomonadales; Volvocaceae
Description: long non-coding RNA (VCAR_LNC004309)
Source: RNAcentral